Molecule: long non-coding RNA, 391 nt
Filed under: Homo sapiens (human)
Lineage: Eukaryota; Metazoa; Chordata; Mammalia; Primates; Hominidae
Description: HSALNT0011680
Source: RNAcentral
UGAAACAAAAUACACAGUGGGCAGUUUGAAUUACUACAAAAAGCAGAGAUUUAUUUAUAAAAUGAGUGGCCUGAAGAUAUCUGAUACUACUCAACUAUCAUUUAAUCACUAAGGAAAAAAUUUAUGCUGUUUUCUUUCAUCUCAGAGCUUGAUGAUUUUACAGGAAAUCUUUUUUAUGUCUCUGCAUGGUUAAGGCUUUAUUAGUAAAUUUCACUGGAACUUUGGUUAAUGGACAAACCCUGGAAAUUAAAAGAUGACUGAAGAGGUAUUGACAACUCUGAAGAGAUUUGUAUUUCUGGAAUUAUGAGUUUGUCUCUAAAAGGAGAAUAAAACUAGGAACCUUGAAGACGGUCCAGAAUAUGUAAAGCCAGAGACACUUAUCAUCCUCUUU